CCCUUAGAUGUCCUGGGCCGCACGCGUGCUACACUGACGCCUACAGCGAGUACUUCCCAGCCCCGAGAGGUGGCUGGUAAUCAGCAAUAGGCGUCGUGAUGGGGAUAGAUCUUUGGAAUUAUGGAUCUUGAACGAGGAAUGCCUAGUAAGCGCAGGUCAUUAGCCUGCGCUGAUUAAGUCCCUGCCCUUUGUACACACCGCCCGUCGCUCCUACCGAUUUCGAGUGGUCCGGUGAAUCUUUCGGCCUGCGCGCGGCCUCGUGCCGUGUCGCGGAAAGUCAGGUAAACCUUAUCACUUAGAGGAAGGAGAAGUCGUAACA
Molecule: ribosomal RNA, 319 nt
Filed under: uncultured eukaryote
Lineage: Eukaryota
Description: partial 18S ribosomal RNA
Rfam family: Eukaryotic small subunit ribosomal RNA
Source: RNAcentral